Molecule: ribosomal RNA, 259 nt
Filed under: uncultured bacterium
Lineage: Bacteria
Description: partial 16S ribosomal RNA
Rfam family: Bacterial small subunit ribosomal RNA
Source: RNAcentral
UACGUAGGGUGCAGGCGUUAAUCGGAAUUACUGGGCGUAAAGCGUGCGCAGGCGGUCUGCUAAGAGAGAUGUGAAAUCCCCGGGCUUAACCUGGGAACUGCGUUUCUAACUGGCAGGCUUGAGUGUGGCAGAGGGGGGUGGAAUUCCACGUGUAGCAGUGAAAUGCGUAGAGAUGUGGAGGAACAGCCGAUGGCGAAGGGAGCAGCCCCCUGGGCUAACCACGUGCACCUGAGGCACGAAAGCGUGGGGAGCAAACAGG